Molecule: long non-coding RNA, 41146 nt
Filed under: Ananas comosus (pineapple)
Lineage: Eukaryota; Viridiplantae; Streptophyta; Magnoliopsida; Poales; Bromeliaceae
Description: long non-coding RNA (ACOM_LNC002936)
Source: RNAcentral
GUUACCUGUUUCUAUGUCGUGGCUGUGAUGAUUGCCAUGUAUGGAAGCACCAAAGCCCUUCAACAUUAGACUGAACUUUGAUCCAUACAGUUCGGCAACCUUUGGAAGGCUUGUUCUGCAAGCAUCCAUUUUGCAUCUGUAUGCGUAGUUCGCAAAUGCUCAUAAAAAUGGCAAAUCUGAGCCACAGCAUCUAAAGAUGUCCUUUUCAUUGUUUACAGCAUUUUUGUUGGCUCUUAUUUAAGGAAUUUGUGUUUGCUAAAUCGCCUCUUGAAGAAAAGUUGGUUAGUUGAAAUGAGGGAAAACGUUUAUUUAGCUUAUUAUAUGUUUUUGAAGUUUGGUGGCGAUAACUACUCCAUAGUUUGAGGGUGUCUGGCAUAUUUUUCUCUUCAUAUUUAGCAUUCAAGAAAGUGUAGUUUCUAACAGUGCAUUAUUGGACCUGCCCGGCAGCAACUGUGGAUGGCCUGCUUAUAUGCUGGCAACCAGUUUUUGCUGCUGUAAGCUAGAGUUUAUGCCCAGCACCGUAUUGUUAUUAUUGAGCAUUUCUUUGUGACAUUGUUGUUAGUGUUUAGCAUUGCAUUCCUUCUCCCUUAAUAGGUAAUCAAACUUUCAGGCAAAUAACUAAAAUGUGAAUUUCAAUUCUCAUUUCUUUCAAGUUUAUUCUCAUGCUAUUUUACGAGUCUAAUUUAAAUAGGGUAAAAUGUAUAGACCCUCUGAACUUCAGCUCUAUAGCAAAUAAUUGCCUGAACUUAUAAUUCUGGGGAUUACGCCUUUUAAACUUUUAUUAAAACAAUUUAAUGGGGAAGCAAAGUGUUGUUCAGCCCUCCGAUGAGAGAUGGAACAGAUGGACGGGUGCACCGCUGAGGCGAUAUGACGGAUGUACAGGGUGUGCUUGCUUUUUCCUAUGGGACCCUCCAUUUCAGAAGGAGAAAUGUGUAUUGGCUGGACAUAGAUGAUGUGGUGUGGGUGUUACAUAGUAGACUUCCUCCUCCUGACUCUCUUCCACCCAAUAAAUAAAUAAAUAAAUAAAUAAGCAUUUCUGUGCUCUCCAGUCUCUUCCCUUUCUCAACAAGUGUAUUUAGGUUGAGAAUCUAGUAAUGGCGGGGUAGCUUUGGAUGGUCUGCUCUUCUGCAGGCCACCGAGCUGCAGCCAUUAGUCUAGAAAUUCGGCAGUGGCGGGAGCUGCAGUGGUGGCGGUGGCGGCGGCGAUGGCGAUCAUUCAUCAUGACGAUGAGGGUGAUUAUGAUUGUUAUGAUUUUUAAUAGGGCUUCGGCUUUAUCAGAGGAUGCGUCCUUCAUCGAUGGCAUUACAUUAUCAUCUUCUUGAUAUCUCUCAUAUUUCUUGAUCCUGGCUAAAGUAACUAUCAUCAUUUUGUUUUAUUCUACUUCUCAAUGUCUUUUAUUAAUGCCUUCUUCUGCUUGUUGUUAUUUGUUAUUAGGGGCUUAUUGCCUAUAUACCUCUCACUACUAUUCAAAAUUCUAAAAUUUACCCUUCUAUUCCCAAAAUACCCUUCUAAACCUCAAAUGCCAUUAGAAAACCCUAGGGUUUAGGGGAUAUUUGAAGGAAUUUUUAGAAAUCAGUAAUGACAUUUUAGUCAACGAGGGAUAUAUUAGAUAUUUUUGGAGUUUUGAAGGGUAUAUUAGAUAUUAUCCCUUAUUGUUGUUGUUGUUGUUGUUGUUGUUGUUGUUGUGAUAGGUAGUGGUGGUGGCGGUGGUGAUGAGUCUACCAUCUCACCGCCCCUUCCUGGAAGGGAGAACCCACAAAAUUUUGCUUUUUGGGAUUGAUCAAGCCUUCAUUCUUGGUUUUAUAUGUAUAAAAUUGAGCUCCUAUGCUUUUAAAAGCACCAAGUCAUUGAGCUCCUAGGGUUGAGUAGGCGGUUGGUGGAAUAGCAUAAUAGCCGGACUCUCUCUCUCUAUAUAUAUACAUGCAAUUUGUAUUUGUGGGGGAUUAAAAAGGGAAAAACAGCAAAGAUACCUAAGUUUUCAGCGGUAGGUACAUAGAAUGGUAAUCUUGGAGAGCUCUGCUUUUCUGCAGGAAGCCGUUCUUCCUUGUGAUGUCUUGCUUCGACUAGUCAAAUGGUUGGAAACAAACUAGUUGAAACUUUUGAUGGGUCUCUUGCCAUGUCAUCAACCACAAUAUUGCCACGUUACUGCUACAUUAGUGGCACAUCACCAUUCACUCAACUAAGUAGGCCUGUGAGACUUGAUUGCAAGAAUCAAAGAAGUUCGAGCCAGAAAUUGCAGCUUUUAUAGUUUGAGGACCAAAGUGUCACCAGCCUCAUAGUUUGAGGACUGAAGUUUAAUUUAGCAAUAUUUCAUCUAACCAACCAGUAAUGAGGCAAUAAUUUUCCUAUCUUAGCUACCUAUAGCCGCACUCAAUUGGAAGGUCUGCUGUUUCGAAGGCAACCUUGUUCUGUCAUAUGUCUUUAAGGUGCAUAAGACUACAUGAUGCCUCUUUAUAUAAUUGAAUGGCAGGUCGGAGCUUUUUUCCUCGUCUUGAGAAACUUUACUUCUACUUUCUUUUCAGCUUUUAACAUUUCACAUGCUGACUGUAUGCUUCAAGCAGACAGGCCCUUACUGUUUCAUGCAAUGUUAAGUGUUUCUCCUUCAUUUACUUGUCAAAGGAGGCUGUGAUGAUUGCCAGUUGGGAAUGCACCUGAACUUCUUUUAUCCUGUCAUUUGCUUCUCGGCGAAUUGUAAAAACUGAUCAAAAUACUGAAUAUAGGAGGCAAUAUGGUCAACUGAAUCCUAAGAUCUUGGUUGUGUUUUGAUAAUUUGGGUGGGAUUUGAAUCCGGUUUGUUGGUAGUUGUCGUUUUGCUUUCCUUGAGAGCCUUUUGCUUCGUUAAUUUGUGGGAUACACGGCAUCUCAGUCGGUGGCUUUUUGCUGACAUGGUUCACCGGGUGCAGGCAAUAAUUUUUCCUUUCUGAGCAGCUCAUCAGGCCAACAGUAGCUACCUGUAGCUGUAGUUAAAUUGGAAGGUCUGCUAUCGUGCAGGCAACCUUAUGCUGUCGUAUUUUUAAGGUGCAUAAGAUUACAAGAUCCCUCAUGAGGUGAUUGAAUGGCAUAUCUGAGCCUCCAUUUUCUUCUCCUACUUCCUUCUUAGCUAUUAAGAUUUAGUGUUACAUUUUUUUUCUUUCUUACUGCAUGUAGAAGCUAGGAUGGGUUGUUUCAAAUAUUCCUUGUCCACCCGCUGAAAUACUGCAUCGUGCUGGUUGAUGGUAAAUUUUCUAUCCUAUAUGUAUUCAGAUCUGAGGCAACUUGCUAAUUUUUUCAGAUUUUGUUAAGACUGAAUAUAAUUAAAGAUUCAGAUAUCUGGCAUAUAAAUAUUUUGGUUAAUUUCUUCAAUACCCUCAAAAGUUGUAAUUUCAUACAUACCCCUUCAAAUUGCAAUGGGUUUAGGGUCGAUGCGUUAUUGCAUGCAUACAUCUCUCUCUCUCUCUCUCUCUCUCUCUCUCUCUCUCUCUCCAUUAGUAAUCAGGUUCUCGUAAAUUUGCAUCUGAUAGACAUCAAGUUUUGUUUCUGUGAAAUAUUAUUUGCAGGCAUGCAAUCAGAACUGCUGCUCAACUAAUAACUUGACUCAUGCCCUAUUAUAUUAUUUGAGAAAGUUUUAAGGAUUUAUUUGUUAAAAAUAGAUGUCUAGGAUCCUGUUUGCAAUAGUGUUAAAGUUCAGGGGGGCUUUGUACAUUUGUAAAUGCAUGUUGGGUGCGGCGCUGUGCAUCUUUUCGGGCUAUCUAGAGCGGCAAAGUACUUUUGAGUCCUCUGUUGACGGAUGGAUGGAUGGACAGGUAUGCCUUUGAGGUGGUGCGAAUGAAAGAGCCCUCGUUUGGGUAAAAUUAGGGAUGGAAGUUGUUAGGAUAAACUAAGAUUGAAUCUGACACUGGAUUCAAUAGGAUGCGACUACGGAUGUUAAAAUUUAGCAUCUGACACAUUCAUAUCCGGAUGCAAUUUGCAUCCAAAAAAAAAGUAUGGAUGCAUGUAUGGUUUCGUCAAAAAUCCCAUCAUAUUAGGCUAUUUUAACUCCUAUGAGAAAAGGGGGAAUUACAUGUAUGUUUGUUAAAUAUUAGAUUUUCGUGAAUAAAAUAUAGACAUGAAAUUUUAACACGAAUGUAGAACUUUAGUUGCAGCAUGUCUUAUUCACGCUAAUUCUAUUUUAUAUUUAUAUAAUGCAUUUUAGUACAUAUUACUAUCCAAAUAAUAUUCAAAUACGAUCCAAACCAUAUCCGAAUCCUUUUUUAGUGGAUAUGGUAAUGGAAAUUUAUCAUCCGCUACAUAACCACAUCCAAAUUUGCAUCUGAAGAUAAAUAUGAAGAUAAAUAUGGAUGCAGAUAUGAUUUUGUCAAAUAUCCGACUAUAUUUGGCUGUUUUCACCUCUAAUAAAGCAGAAGUACAGGGUGUGCUUCCUUCUGCCUAUAAGCUCCUGUGUCCCCUGAUACCCUCCAAAAAAAAAAAGCAAAAAAAGAAACCACAUUUCUCUCCUUUCUCAGAAACCAAACACCCCCAUAGAGCAUUUGGUGUUGGCUGGGCAGCACUGGAUAGUCUGCUGUUCUGCAGGCUACCAAGCUGCUGCCAUUAUUCCAGGAUUGGUGCGAUAACGGCAGAGGUGCUGAUCAUUAAUAAUGAUGAUGGUGAUGAUGAUCUUUAAAGGGGCUUCGACUUCAUCUGAGGAUGGCCCCUAUGUUGACGGCAUUGGAUUGCUAUCUUCUUGAUACCUCCUAUUUCUUGAUCCUGGUUAAAUUAACUAUCAUCAUUUUUUCUUAUACUUAUCUAUUUCUCUUCUUAAUGCCAUGAUGUUGUUGUUGUUAUUGUUAUUGUUAUUGUUAAUGUCAUUGUUAUUGUGGCAGCGUGGAGGUGGUGAUGGUGGAGUCUGCUGUCUCCCUGCCCUUUUGUGAGAAGGGAAACCCAAAGUCUUUUUGCGAUUGACCAAGCCUUCAUUCUUGGUUUUGGUUUUAUAUAUAUAUAUAUAUAUAUAGAGAGAGAGAGAGAGAGAGAGAGAGAGAGAGAGAGAGUCCGGCUACUAUGCUAUCAAUAGCACAGAGCGCUUGGUGCUACCAAGUUUUCCGCAGUUAGAUCUUCCCGUUGGCCAUUUUCACCCUUUAGAUCAUACUAUUCAACCAACCAUCCACUUACUAUCAUUCUAACCACACAUCUCUCCAUCCAAUGGUCAAAAACCUAAUAGCACCAAUGAUUUGGUGCUAUUAAUUGUAUAGCAGUCUAUCUCUCUCUCUCUCUCUCUCUCUAUAUAUAUAUAUAUAUAUAUAUGUACUCUCUCUCUCUCUCUCUCUAUAUAUAUAUAUAUACAGUUUGUAUCUGGGGGGGAAAGGAAAAGAACAGCAAUGAUACCUAAUGAGGCCUCCAAGUUUUCAGCAGUAGGUGCAUGGCAUGGUAAUCUUGGAAGGCGCUGCUUUUCAGCAGGCAACCAUUUUUCCAUGUAUGCCUUGCUUAGACUUGCUGAACUUGUUCAAAACAAACUAAUUGAAGCUUUUGAUGGGUCUCUUGCUGUGUCAACAACCAUGACACCAUCGCAUUACUAGUGAGACAUUACUGUUCAAAACUAAAUUUGCCUAUGAGACUUGGUUGCAACAAGCAAGAAAGUUUGAGCUACAGCUGUUAUAGUUUGAGGACCAUAAUGUCACCUGCCUCAUAGUGUGAGCACCAUAACUGUCAACUGCGUUUUCUAAUUUUCUUCCAACUUUUCACCCAGUAGUAGGGUUGACAAUCCGACUUGCUGUUCGCGAGCCAGAUCGUGUUCGGCUCGUUAAUAAAUAAGAUGAACACGAGCUGGAUUAUUUAGCUUGAUAUUUUAACGAGCCAGCUAUUGUUUGGCUCAUUUCUUAAACGAGUCGAACAUGAGCUGGCCCAGCUCGCUUGUGUUCGGUUCGUUGACAGCCCUGAGCAGGCAAUAAUUUUCCUAUCUCAGCUGCCUACAGUAGCACUCAAUUGGAAGGUCUGCUGUUUUGCAGGCAACUUUGUUCUGUAGUUUGUCUUUAAGGUGCAUAAGACUACAUGAUUCCUCUUGAUAUGAUUGAAUGGCAGGUCGGAGCAUCUCUGUCCUUUUUCGUAUUUCUCUUGUUGACUGUAUACUUCAAUCACACAGGCCUUUAAUGUUUCAUGCAAUGUUAAGAAGCCUGUUUUCUCCUUCAUUUUACUUGUGAAAGGGGGCUGUGAUGAUUGCCAGUUGGGGAGACACCUCAACUUAUUUUUUCUUGGCUGUUGAUUCUUGGUAGUGUGCAGAAGCUGAUUGAAAAGUGGAUAUAAGAGGAAGUAUAGUCAAAUCCUAAAAAACUGCACUUUUGCAUUUUUUUUUUUUUUCCCUUUCAUGGAUAACCGUUGAAACUGCACAUUGCGGAAUCUUGGAUGGUCUGCACUUUCGCAGGCAAGCCAGUCACUUGUUGUUUCUUGCGGUUUGCUCUUUUUAAACCAUUUCUUUACAACAUCAUUUGCCUAGCAACCAAGUGGUGUCAAAUACAUCGUAUAUUAGCUUUUAAAAUUGUUAAUUUUUGGACCACUCGACUAAUACGCAAAUGAUAUCAAGAAAUUAUGAUGUUUGAAACCUAGAAAGUUGAAACAUCCUAGAUCAUGUUUGACAGUGCUGAUCGUCUAUCAUGAUGAUGCCCCAUUAUCGGAAAUGACACUGAAGUAAGCAGCGCUGUUUACUUCUAGAAGUAUUUUCUAGCCUGCUCUCUCUCUCUCUCUCUCUCUCUCUCUCUCUCUCUCUCUAUCUCUUUCUCUCUCUCAACUUUCUAGGUUGAAAUGUAGAGGAAAAAAGUUGGUGGUUGCACUAUUAUGGAUCAAUAGGAUCUAGGGUUCGCUUCGUCAAAUAUUCAAGCUUUAUUCCCUUUCCCAACACACACCCCCUGCUCCUCUUCCCCACCAAAAAAAAAAAAAGAAAGGAAAAGGAAAAAAGCAGUUUCUUGUGGAAACUUGCUCCUGCUUGACAUGCCAUCUUGAAUGGCUAGCUCGGACACAGGCAACCAGGACUUGCAUCCUUAUACAGGGGAUUUUAACCCUCAGUUUGCCAUUUUGAAGCAACAAGUGUUGGAUUAUAACUUAUCUGAAUGUACAUGUUCUUUGAGGAAUGGCUAUGAUGACUGCCUGGAUGCUCCAGAACUGAAGCAUUUGAUUGAAUAUAGCUCGGCAUUCUUUGGAAGGCUUGCAUUUCCGUGAGCAACCAUUAUGCGGCUGUUUGUGUAGUUCUGUGAAGAUUCUGAUGAAAAGGCCAGAUCUGAGCCACCUCCCUUCUCAACAUCAUCCUUCUUCAUAGGCUAAAUUAUGAAAAGCUUUGUUGCACUUUAUCCUGUCUCACAAUUGUCUGCCAGCUUGAGAAAGACGGUUUGUUGACAACUGUCCCCCUGUUGAUAUCUUUGACUCUUAUGGGAAACAAUUGCGACAUGUUUAUUGGGUAAACGAAAGAAAUAUGUUGAACUAUAUGGUCAUGCGUCGAAAGAGGCUCUAAAUUUGCACUUUUGGUGUGCGUUAGAAUUGAUUUGUGCUGCUGUUUAAAAGAUGUGUUCUUACGCCUUUUCAUUUUGUUUGUGGUUGUGAUGAUUAGGGUUGGCAAUCUAGCUCGAUGUUCGGCUUGAAAGAAGAAAAGCUCGAGAUCGAUUGCUCGUUUAAUAAACGAGCCGAACACAAGCUGAAUUUUUCGACUCGAAAUCUUAACGAGCCGAACAAGAGUUGGGGCAAGCUCGUUUGUGUUCGGCUCGAUAUAGCUCGAACAUAUAUAUAUAUAUAUAUAGAGAGAGAGAGAGAGAGAGAGAGAGAGAGAGAGAGAGAGAGAGAGAGAGAGAGAGCCCUCCCUGCUUCUAAGUUGUUUUCGAUGUUCGGACUUUCAAAUCGACGAUCGGCUCCGUUAGAGUUAAUCUAGAGUAUUUGAAGUACCUAGAAAAUAAAUUGUGAUUUUUCGAUAUCAUUUGCCUAGUGAUCGAAAGGGCUCAAAAUCAAUAAUUUUAAUGGCCGUGGUGAGCCGGUUGCAAGUUUAACGGUGUAGAAAUAUCCAAAUCACAUAAAAUUUUGAUAGAAAAUUCUUUAUACUAUAUAAAACAAGAUCAAUAACUUUGAUCUAAAAUUUUAAUGUCAUAUCAUCAUAUUUUGUAAGAUUUUUAUUUUCAGCCGUUGAUUUUGAGCCACUUCGAUCACUAGGCAAAUGAUAUCGAAAAAUCGCAAAAUUUAUUUUCUAGAUACUUCAAAUACUCUAAAUCAAGUCUAACGGAGCCGAUCGUCGAUUCGAAAGUUCGAACAUCGAAAACAACUUGGAAGCACGGGGCGCUCCGUGCUUCCAGAAGCAUACCAGACGCACUCUAUAUAUAUAUAUAGAGUCCGGCUACUAUGCUCUUAUGAGUACGAUCGCCCUCGUAGUCAUAAGUCGGUUUCGAUGAUAGAGCUUCCGAAUCGACGAUCCAUAUCGUUAAACAUUAUCUAGCGCAUUUAAAACUUACAGAAAUCAAAUUUUAUAAUAUUUUGAGAUCAUUUACCUUACGAUCAAAAGGUCACAAAAUUGACAAUUUUUAACGGCCGGUAUGAGACACUUGCUGGUUUAACGGUGUAAAAGAAUCGGAAUCGGUUGAAUUUUUGAUAGAAAAUUCUAUUCACUAUCUAGAUAAAGAUCAACAACUCCGAUCUUAAAUUGAAGGAUCCGAUCAUCCAUUUUUAGGACGUUCAAUUUCGACCGUUCAUUUUAUACUCACUUGAUGGACUUUAUUAUGAUUUCGAAAAAUCACGAAAUUUAUUUUCUAGAAGUUUCAAAUACUCUAGAUCAUAUUUAACAGAGUGGAUCGUCGAUCCAUAAGCUCCAUCAUGGAAAACAAUUUAUAAGUAUGAAGGACUCUAUACUCAUAAGAGUAUAGUAGCCCUAUUAUAUAUAUAUAUAUAUAUAUAUACAGUCCGGCUACUAUACUAUUAAUAGCACGAAGCACAUGGUGCUACCAAGUUUUCUGCCGUUAGAUCUACCUUUUUGAUCAUUUUCACCCGUUAGAUGAUGCUAUUCAACCAACCACCCACUCAACCCUAGGGGGCCCACAUCAUCCUAACCGCACAUCUCUCAAUCCAAGGGCUAAAAAACUAGUAGCACCAAUAGCUUGGUGCUAUUGAUAGCAUUCACCCUAGUUCUAUAUAUAUAGUGCUAUUGAUAGUAUGCCUAGUUCUAUAAAUAAUAUAUAUAUAAAUAUAUAUAUAGAGUCCCGCUAUGCGUGCUUGUAAAAGUAACAAGCACUUGGUGCUGUAAAAUUUUUUACCGUUGAUCUAUACCUUUGAUCAUUUUUAUACCCGUUAGAUUAUACUAUUCAACCAACCACCCACUCAACCCUAGGGGCCCACAUCAUCCUGACCGCACAUCCUUUAAUCCAAGGGUCGAAAACUUACAAGCACCAAUGACUUGGUACUUUUAAAAGCAUAAGGACUCAAUUUAUAAUAUUAUAAUAUAUAUAUAUAUAUAUAAUAUAGAGUUGGACUGGGCUACUAUAUUAACAAAAUUCAUUGUUGCUACCUCCAGAACUAGGCUAACAUACAAUUAAUAACACCAAAGUUAUUGUACUACUAAGUUUUUAGCCCUUGGAUUAAGAGAUGUGCAGUUAGGAUGAUGUGGACCCCCUAGGUUGAGUGGGUGGUUUGGUUGAAUAUCAUAAUCCUAAUGGUAAAAAUAUCAAGAUGGUUAAAUCUAAUGUGAAAACUCUAUAGCACCAAGUCCUCUGGUUCUAUCGAUCGUUAUCAUAGCCGAACUCUCUCUCUCUCCUCUCCUCUCUAUAUAUAUAUAUAUAUAUAUAUAUAUAUAUAUAUAUUAGCCUAGUGGUAUACUAUCGUAGCACAAGACUUAGCACGGAGCCUCUAUGCUACCAAGUUGUUUUCAAUGAUCCGCUCUCAAAUCGACGAUCAGUUUUGUUAGACUUGAUCUACACAUUAAAAGUAUUUGGAAACUAAUUUCAUAUAAAUUUCUCGAACUCAUUUGGCUACGUGAUCAAAAUCUCAAAAUUGACAUUUAAUGGUAAAGAUGUAGAUGUGUUUGUGAAUUUAACGGUGUAAAAUAACCCAAAUUUGAUUAAAUUUUAUAAAAAAUUGUUUUCACCUAUUAAGAGUAAGAUUAGUACUUCUGAUCUUAAAUUCAAGUCUUUUAUUAUCAUUUUGUUAUGAAUUUGUAUUUGCAGCCGUUCAUUUUUAGAUUACUCGUUUGAUAGGUAAUUAUGCCGAAAUUAUUAUUAAAUUUAGUUUUCGAAAUACUUAAAUGGUGUAUGAUCAAGUCUAACGAGCCAAUUGUCGAUUUGGAAGCUGUAACAUUGAAAACAAUUUGGUAGCAGGGCCUCCGUCUACCGAUAGUUACCAGCCUAGUCUCUCUCCCUCUCUCGUUCUCUCUCUCACUCUCUCCUCCUCUCUCUCUAUAUAUAAUAUAUAAUAUAUAUAUAUAUAAUAUAUAUAUAUAUAAUAUAUAUAAGUCCGGCUACUAUACUCUUAUGAGUACGUCGCCCCUCCGUACUCAUAAGUUGUUUUCGAUGAUAGAGCUUCCGAAUCGACGAUCCAUGCAUUAAACAUUGUCUAGAGCAUUUAAAUUUCUAGAAAUCAAAUUUCAUAAUUUUUCGACAUCAAUUUACCUUACGAUCAAAAGCUCACAAAAUGAUAUUUUUAAUGGCCGUAUGGGAUUAGUCUUCGCUAGUUAAACGGUGUAAAAGAAUUGAAAUAUGUUGAAUUUUUGAUAGAAAAUUUUAUUCACUACCUACAAUAAGAAUCAAUCUUCGAUCUUUAAAUUGAAGGAUCCGAUCAUCUAUUUUUAGACGUCGUUCGAUUUUGACCGUUCAUUUUAUAGCCCGUUUGAUAUGGACUUUAUUAAUGGUUCGAAAAUUACGGAAUUUAUUUUUUAGAAGUUUCAAUACUGUAGAUCAUAUUUACGGAGUGGAUCGUCGAUUUGGAAGCUCUAUCAUCGAAAACAACUUAUGAGUACGAAGAGCCCAAUACUCCAUAAGAGUAUAGUAAGCCCCAACUAUAUAUAUAUAUAUAUUAUAUUCCAUUGUUGCUAACCAAUUUUUUAGCCUUUGGAUCAACUUUUUUUAUUAUUUCUAACCAUUAGAUUAAAUACUAUAAUCUAGUGGGGACCACUCAACCUAGGGGGACCACUCAACAUCUAACCGAUUAAUAUCAAUCCUGACCCUAUACAAUUUUUAUCCAGGGUUAAAAACUUGAUAGCAAAAAGAACGUUUACUAUUAAUAGUAUUCCAGCCUAUUCUAUAUAUAUAUAUAUAUAUAUAGAAUUAGGCUACUAUACUAUCUAUAGUACGGGAACUCCCGUACUAUAGUGUUGUUUUCGAUCUUAGGGCGUUCAAAUCAACGAUCCACACCGUUAAAUAUGAUCUAGGGUAUAUGAAGUUCUUAGGAAUAAAAUUUUAGUUCUUUUCGAUAUCGUUUACUUAGUAAAUAAAUUAUGUCAAAAUGGACGGUGGGAAUUGAAUACUCUUUAAAAUUUGAGCAUAGGACUUUUAAAUUCAAGAUCAAGAAUGUUAACCUUAAUCUAUAUAGUUUAAAGAGACAUUUGUAAAUUUUAAUUAUUAGAUAAAAUUCUAAUUUUCUAAUUUUCUUUCAACUUUUCAUCUAGUAGUAGGGCUGACAAUCUAAUUUACUGUUCGCGAGUCUGCUCGUGUUCGGCUCGUUAAUAAACAAGGCGAACACUAGGUGAAUUUUUCAGCUCAUUAUUCUAAUGAGUCGGUUUGUGUUCGGCUUGUUUAAUAAAUGAACGAAUACGAGUCGGCCCCAGUUGUGCUUGACUCGUUGACAGCCCUAGUGAUGAUUGCCAAGAAUGGAAGCACCAAAACCCUUCAGCAUUAGAGAAAACUUUGAUCUGCACUGGUUGGCAACUUUCGGAAGGCUUGUUCUGCAAGCAUCCAUUUCGCAUCUGAUAUGUGUAGUUCGCAAAUGCUCAUAAAAGUGGAUUACAGAACUCCCCUGAUCGUCUAUUUGGAGCCUCAUUAUUGGAAAUGACGGGGAAGCAGCGUCAUUUACUUCUAGAAGGAUUCUAGCCUCUCUCUCUCAAAUUGGUUGAAAACUUGAAAUAUAGAGCAAAAAGUUGGAGGUGGCACUAUUAUGGGUCAAUCCGGUGUAGGGUUCACUUCUUGAAGUAUUCUCCUCCCCCCCCUCCGCCACCUUGCACGCCACCCCCCAACGGGCAGAAUGCAUUUUCUCGCGGCAGUCUGCUCCUCCCGCUCAGCAUGCUUGCUUGAAUGGCUAGCUCAGAUGCAGGCAACCAAGAUUUGCAUCCAUACAGGGGAUUUUAAUCCUCAGUUUGCCAUUUUGAAGCAACAAGUGUUGGAUUGUACGUUAUCUGAAUGUACAUUUCUUUGAGGAAUGGCUAUGAUGACUGCCUGGAUGCACCAGAACUGAACCAUUUGACUGAAAUGUAGCUUGGCAAUUUGGUAAGGCUUGCGAGUCCGUGAGCAACCAUCAUGCGGCUGUUUGUGUAGUUCUGUAAUGAUUCUGAUGAAAAGGCCAGAUCUGAGCCACCUCCCUUCUCAACAUCAUCCGUAUUUAUAGGCUAAAUUAUGAAAACUUUCUUGCGCUUUAUUCUCUGUCACAAUUAUCUAACUGCGUGAGAAAGAUGGGCUGUAGACAACAGUCCGCUUGUCACAUAUUUGACUCUGGUAAAAAGUUGCGACAUGUUUGUUGGGUAAAUGAACGAAAUAUGUUGAACAAGAUGGUCAUGUGUCGAAAGAGGGUCUAAAUUUGCACUUUUGUUGUGCGAGGGGUUUUUGCAUGUUUUGCUCUUCAUAUAAAGCUAUUUACACAUACACCACAUUUUAAAUUUGAAUUUUGUUGUGCUCUCAAGAAAGUGUAGUUUCUUACAGAGCAUUGUACAUAUGCCCUGCAGCAACUUUGGAUGGCCUGCUGUUCUGCUGGCAACCAAUUAUUCCUGCUGUGUGUUGGAGUUUAUACCCAUCUUCGUAUCAUUGGUGUUGAGCAUUGCAUUCUAAAAAAUUUGGGUUAAUUUCAUACAGCUCCCUGUAAACAUUUCGAAUAGCAAAUAUAUCUCUACAAAGUUGAACUUUUCAUAGUUAUCCAUGCAAAAGUCCGGUGAUGCUCAUAUUUGCUCCUCUGGUUUAUUACCGUUAGAGCUAGGGGUGGAAACGAGCCGAGCACGAGCGAGCUUACUUAAACACAAGCUUGGCUUGAAAUUAAUUUUGAGCCUAAAUUUAGGUUCAAGUUCGGCUUGAAAUUAAUUCGAGCUGAGCUCGAGCGAGCCUAACUUCAAGUCGAGCGAGCUCGAGCCCUAAACGAGCUGCUUGAAAUUUUUGACAUUGUGCAAUCUAUAGUUUAGUUUUUAUAAAACAUUAUCUAAAAUUUGAUACAAAAAAUGUCUAAUAGUUCAACAUACAAAAUAAAUGUAUGAAAUAUAAUAUUAUAAUAUUAAAAAAAAUUAGAGAAAGCAACUCUGCGAGCAAAUGAAAGAGAGAGCACAAUUAGAGUAGGAUUUUGCUGGUUUGGUUUUGUGGGCCUAAUAAUCUAAACUCUAUAUACAUAUAAUUAAAAUACAUAAUAUAUAUUAUUUUAUAUAAUUAAAAUAUAUAUAUUAUAUAUGAUUAUAUAUAGAGAGUUCGGCUAUUAUACUCUUAUGAGUAUGGACUUCCUUAUACUCAUAAGUUUCGACCGUUAGAUCUAUCCCUUUGACCAUUUUCAUCUGUUAAAUCAUACUAUUCAACCAACCACCCUUUCAAUCCUAGGGGACUGCUGUCAUUUUAACCGCGCACCCUUUUAUCCAACGGCCGAAAACUUAUGAGUAUAAAAGAGUCUAUACUCACAAGAGUAUAGUAGCCCUAGCCUCUCUCUCUCUCUCUAUAUAUAGAGGCUAGGGUUACUAUACUCUUAUGAGUAUAGAGCCUUUCGUCAUAAGUUUUCGGGCGUUCGGAUAAAGGGAUGUGCGGUUAGGAUAUAGUGGGUCCCAGUUGAGAUAUAGUGAUCCUCUAGGGGUGAGUGGGCGGUGCUGGUUGAAUAAUAUGAUCUAACAGCCGGUGAAAAAAUGGUCAAAGGGUAGAUCUAACGCUGAAACUGUAUGAGUACAAAAGGGCCUAUAUCAUAAGAGAUAGUAUUCUAGCAAAACUAUAUAUAUAUAUAUAUAUAUAUAUAUAUAAUUAGGCUAUUAUACUAUUGAUAGUACCAACCGCUUGCUAUUAUGUUUUCGGCCCUUGGAUGAAAGGAUGUGUGGUCAAGAUGAUAGUGGCCGCUUAGGUUUGAGUGGGUGGCUAGUUGAAUAGUAUAAUCUAACGGAUGGAAAUAGUCAAACGGAUAGAUCUAACGGUAGAAAAUUCGAUAGCACCAAACCUUGGUAGUAUCGAUUAUAUAGUAGCCGGACUUUAUAUAUAGGUGGAUCUAACGGCUCAAAACUGGAUAGCACAAGCGUUUGGUGCUAUCGAGCUUUUUGCCGUUAGAUCUAUCUCUUUGGCCAUUUUCAUCCGUUAAAUCAUACUAUUCAAUUACCCACCUCUUCAACCCUAGGGGGCUACUAUCAUCCUGACCACAUAUCCCUUCAUCUAAGGGCUAAAAACCUAAUAGCAAGCGGUUGGUACUAGUAUGGUAGCAUAAUUAUAUAUAUAUAUAUAUAUAUAUAUAUAUAUAUAUGUUUCUACCUUUUCGAGCUUAAUUCGAGCGAGUGCAGUAAUACUCAAGUUCAACUGGAAAUUAAUUUCAAGCCUAAAUUUAGGCUCAAGCUCGGCUUGAAUUAAUUCGAGCUGAGCUCGAGCGAGCCGAAGAUCGAGCCGAGCGCGAGUCGAACACGAGCCGGCUCACUCAUUUGCCUGCCCUACCUUGAGGCGAUACGAGCUAGAGAGCCUGUUUUGGAGGAAAACAGAAGUACAUGGCUUCUAACUGUAAGCCCCUCCGUCUCCUCACUCCCACACUCGGAAACCAAACACCCCUUAGAGAAUCUGGUACUGGCAAGGCAACAUUGGAUGGUCUUCUGUUUUGUAGGCUACCGAGCUGCAGCCAUUAUUCCAGAAUUGGUGCGGCAAUAGCAGCGGGGGCGAUCAUUAUGUGGCCAUCAUUUAUAAUGAUGAUGAUCAUCAUCAUGAUCUUUAAAGGGGCUACGACUUCAUGUGAGGAUGCCUUCAUUGUCGACGGCAUCGGAUCAGCAUCUUCUUGCUCCCUUUCAUAUUUUUUGAUCCUGGCUGAAGUAAGAAGAGAACUUGGAUGAGUUCAAAGAGGAGAAAUUGAGACACCCAUUUCUCCCCAAUUUCUCCUCUCUCACCCUAACCACCCAUCAAUAGCCCAACUCUCUCUCUCUCUCUCUCUCUCUCUCUCUCUCUCUAUAUAUAUAUAUAUAUAUAUAUAUAUAUAUAGUUUGUGUUUGGGGAAUAAAAGGAAAAAAAACAGCAACCAUACCACCUGAGGCAUUAAGUUUUCAGCAGUAGGUGCAUGGCAUGGUAAUAUUGGAAGGCUUUGCUUCUUUGCAGGCAACCAUUUUUCCAUGUCAUGUCUUGACUUGCGGAAAUUAUUGAGAACAAACUUAUUGAAGCUUUCGAUAGGUCUCUUGCCACAUCAAUCACCACAACACUGGCACAUUACUGUUGCAUUAGUGAGACAUUCCUGUUCACUUAAAAUUCGCCUAUGAAACUUGAUUGUAACAAUCAAGAAAGUUUGAGUUAGAAAUUGCAGCUAUUAUAGUUUGAGGACUAAAAGUGUAAUUUAGCCUUAUUUUAUAAAACAAACGACUGGGCAGGCAAUAAUUUUCCUAUCUCGGCUACCUAUAACUGCACUCAAUUGGAAGGUCUGCUGUUUUGCAGGCAACCUUGUUUUGUCAGUUGUCUUUAAGUUGCAUAAGACUAUAUGAUGCUUUUUGAUAUGAUCGAAUGGCCGGUCGGAGCCUCUCUGUCCUUCUCCGUUCAUUUCAGUUAGUAAUAAUUCUCAUGCUGACUGUCGAUGUCGUCAUGCUGACUGUAUGCUUCAAUCAGACAGGCCCUUAAUGCUUCAUGCAAUGUUAAGGAAGCGUCUCUCCUUUAUUUUACGUUUCGAAGGAGGUUAUGAUAAUUGGCGGUUGGGAAGGCACCUCAACUUAUUUUUUUUUCUUGGCUUUUGAUUCUCAAUGGAGUGCAGAAGCUAUGGAUAUAAGAGGUAGUAUGGUCAACCCCAAAAACUGCACUUUUGCAAAAAAAAAAUUUCCCUUUCAUGAAUAACUGUUGAAACGGAUGGUCUGCACUUUUGCAGGCAACCUAGCAGUUGCAUGCUGUUUUUUGUGGUUUGCAUUUAUAAGCCGUUUCUUCAUGGCAUCAUUUGCCUAGCGAUCAAGCGGUGUCAAAUGCAUCAUAUAUUAGCCAUUAAAAUUGUUGAUUUCUGGACCACUCGAGUACUAGGCAAAUGAUAUCAAAGAAUUAUGAAGUUUGAAACCUAGAAAGUUGAAAUAUCCUACAUGUUUGAUUGUCUAUCCGGAUGCCCCGUUAUUAGAAAUGAUGCGGAAGUAAGCAGCGCAGUUUACUUGUAUAAGCAUUUUACACCCCCCCCCNNNNNNNNNNNNNCUCUCAACUUUCUAGGUUGAAAUAUAGAGAAAAAAGUUGGUGGUGGCACUGGCCUAUUGUGGAUCAGUAGGGUCUAGGAUUAAUUUCUUGAAGUAUUACCCCCACGGCCCCACCCACCCUCUCCAACCUUAAAAAAAAAAAAAAAAAACUCAAAAUGCAGUUUCUCGUGGAAACUUGCUCCUGCUCGGCGUGCUUAUCUUGAAAGGCUGGCUUAGAUGCAGGCAACCAAUAUUUGCAUCCAUGCAGGGGAUUUUAAUCCUCAGUUUGCCAUUUUGAAGCAACAAGUGUCGGAUGUACCUUAUCUGAAUGUACACGAUCUUUGAGGAAUGGCUAUGAUGACUGCCUGGAUGCACCAGAACUGAAGAAUUUGACUGAAACGUAGCUUGGCAAACUUUGGAAGGCUUGCAAUUCUGUGAGCAACCAUUAUGCAGCUGCUUGUGUAGUUCUGUGAAGAUUCUGGUGAAAAGGCCAGAUCUGAGCCACCUCCCUUCUCAACAUCAUCAUCCCUAAACUAUGAAAAGAUUGCUUGCACUUUAUCUUCUGUCACAAUUAUCUAACUGCUCGAGAAAGAUGGACUGUAGACAACCAUCCGCUUGUAGACAUCUUUGACUCUAUGGUAAACAAAUGCGACAUGUUUGUUGGGUAAAUGAAAGAAAUAUGUUGAACAAGAUUGCCAUGUGUCGAAGGAGACUCUUAUUUGCACUUUUGCUGUGCGUCAGAAAUGAUCUGUGGUGCUGUUUGAAGGUGCAUUCUUAUGUCUUUCCAUGUGGUGGGUGUGAUGAUUACCAAGUAUGGAAGAACCACAACCCUUCAACAUUAGACUACUUUGAUCUGCACAGCUUGGCAACUCUCGUACGGCUUGUUCAGCAAGCAUCCAUUUGCGUUUGUAUGUGUAGUUCGCAAAUGCUCAUAAAAAUGGGGUAAAAACGUACAGAACUUAUCUGAACUAUGGACUAUUUUGAGAAACACAGAUUGUAGACAACUAUCUACUCGUAGACACCUUAGACUCUAUGGUUAACAAUUGCGACAUCUUUGUUGGGUAAAUAAAAGAAAUGUGUUGAAUAAGAUGGUCGUGUGUCGCAAGAGGCUCUAAAUUUGUACUUUUGUUCCGCACCAGAAAUGGGUUGGGCUGCUGUUGAAAGAUGCAUUGUUAAUCUACGUGGUGGCUGUGAUGAUUGUCAUGUAUGGAUGCACCAAAUCACUACAAUAUUUGACUGAACUUUGAUCUGCACAGCUCGGCAACCUUUUAAAGGCUUGUUCUGCGAGCACCCAUUUUGCUUUAUAUGUGUAGGUUUGCAAAUGAUCAUAAAAAUUGCAGAUCUGAGCCAGUGUCUAAAUAUCUCCUUUUCGUUGUUUAGACCUAACAAUUUUUUUUUACCCCUAGCCUGUUCUUGUUUAAAGAAUUUAUGUUUGCUAAAUCACCUCUUGCAGCAAGCGGGUUAGGUGAUAUGAGGAAAAUUGUUCCUUUAUGUCAAUAUAUGUUUUUGAAGUUUAGUGGUGAUAAUUACACCACAGUUCGAGGGGUUUGGCAUUUUUUUGUCUUUAAAUAUGGCCUGCAGGAAGUGUAGUUUUUAACAGAGCAGUAGACCUGCCCGGCAGCAACAUUGGAUGGCCUGCUUAUAUGCUGGCAACCAAUUUUUGCUGCUGUGAGCUGGAGUUUAUACCCAGGUUCGUAUUAUUAGUGUUGAGCAUUGCGUUGUAACUUUUGUAGUCGUACCGAGCCGAAGAAUUGCUCUUUUGCAUUCCUCCUCGGUGAGUAAUUGAAAUCUCCACUAAAUGUGAACUUCAAAUCUCACUUCUUUUAAGUUUAUCCUCAAAGCGGUUUUCUGUAAAAAUAAACUGAACAUGGGACUUUGGCAAUGUUGGGGGAUCUCAUGGGAGUGACAUGGUCAAAUACGGUGGGAUUUUUGACGAAACCAUACCCGUAUCCAUGUUUUUUUCAUUUUUUGGUAUGCUAAUUCGGAUACGAUGGUGUCGGAUUCGAUUGGAUUUUAUCCUAACCACUUUCACCUCUACUUGUGGUACAUUUAUUCGGAGCCAAAAUACUCUGAACCCUCCAAUGAGGGAUGGAUGGACAGGUGGAUGGACGGGUACAUCGCUAAAGCGAUACGAAAGAGAGAAACCAGCAUUGGGAACAAGCGGAAAUGCAGGGGUGCUCCUUUCUUCCUGUAAGCCCCUCCGUCUCCUACUCUCUUCCACCCCAAAAAUGAAAAAAAAGAAAGAAAGAAAGUCAUUUGUCUCGUUUCCUGUCUCUUCCUCUCGUCAGGGAAAGUGUUUUUAGGUUAGACAGGGAAUCUGGUAAUGGCGGGGCAGUUCUGGACGGUCUGCUCUUCUGCAGGCUACUGAACUGCAGCCAUUACUCCGAAAAUGCAUUGGCGGCUAUCAUUUCCUCCUACUUCCUUGAUGCCUUGUUGUUGUUGUUGUUGUUGUUGUUGUUGUUGUUGUUGUCAUUAUUAUUAUUAUUAUUAUUAUUGUCAUUUUUAUAACUGUGGUGGUGGUGGGGGUGGGUGGAGUCUACCAUCUCCCUGCCCCUUCGUAAAAGGGGAAGCUUUCGUGUCUCGGGGUUGACCGAGCCCUGUGUGUGUGUGUGUGUGUGUGUGUGUGACUACUAUACUUCUAGAAGCAUAUACUUCCAACUUUUGGACCCUUGGAUCCCUCAGGUUUACUUCUUGUUGAUGGUAUUGGUAUGGAUCCAAGGGCCCAGAAGUUGGAAUUUGUAACUUCUAAAUGCAGCAUAGCUCAACUACACACACACACACUGUUCGUGUUUGAGGGUUGGAAAAAAAAAAAAACAAAAAAACAGCAAGAACAAUUCUAGAUGGGGCCUUAAGUUUCAGCAGAAGGUGCAUGGCAUUGUAAUCUUGGAACAUGGUUGUUUCAAACAUUCAUUAUCAACCCCCAAGGCCUGAUUUUAUCUUUAAUUUUUCAUCCUCUGGCUUUCUUACUGCAUGUACAAUCUAGGAUGGGUUGUUUCAAACAUUCAUUAUCAACCCCCUGAAACCCUUCCUCGUGCUGGUAGAUGAUGACUGGAUAGAAGUUUGGGGGGUCUAUUUCGAAAAUGGUCUAUAGUUGAGGGGAUCUUCAUCCUAUUUAACCUCUCAAUAUAUCUGAUGGUGAAAAGGUAUUGAUAGUCCCUGUCGUAUCCCGAUGCUAUUCCAAUAUUGUGACUUAGUCCUUGAACCUUUUCCAUAGCACUCCUCUCUCUCAUCUUUCUUAUAUUCUUGGAAUUUCAUCCCUCCCAUCUCUUUGGUUCAUACGUUGCAGGGAAAAUCUCUCAUUAGAACUCUGCAUUGUAAUUUAAUUACUAGCGAGGAUUGGCAGGCGCGUGAUCAGUAAUUGGAGGCAGCUCUGGAUGGUCUGCCCUUCUGCAGGCAACCUAGCUUGCAGCCAUUUAUCCGGUCAUGGCUGGGGUGGAGGAGGUGGUGGUAGUGAUAAGGAUUGGAUGUAUGUGGGUUCAUAUGAUCCUCUUCUCUGAUUAGGGUAUCAUCAUCGUUAUCUUCUUGGCACUCGCUUAUUCUCUUGAUCCAAGUUCCUGUAAAGGAUGUCCUUCAUCAUUUACUUCUAUUUCGCAAUUCCUGUUCCUUGAUGUGUUUCGGCAUUUGUGGAAGUUUCUGUUGAUCAUCUUCAAGAUAUGCGGAAUAACCACUUUUGUGUGGAGUAAAGCUUCUCUCUGCGGCCUUCUGAGAUGGAUACCCAUGAAAUUUUGUGCCUCAGGGUUGAUGAAUGGCUAAAAAUCAAGCUUUUUGAUUUUGAUUGUGCAUUCUUCAUAUGGGUUUACAUCAAGUUGGUCGGUUAGCUCGGUCCAUUGACACCUCUAAUCUGAGCCAUGCUUCAUUAAUUCCUCUAAUCUGAGCCAUGCUUCAUUAAUUCGUGGGAUGGAUGACAUUGCAGCUGGUGGUGCAUGUCUGAUCUUGUGCACCGGGUGCAGGUGUAAUGCCCCGGACUCGUCGCAACCCGCCAAUGACGAGAGCUUGCUGAGGCGUCGACGGCGACAGGGAUGAUGGUGGUUUCCGGCAGCAAUUCCGAGAUAAUUAAUGCAGGGAAAAAGGGGUAAGAGAAGAGAGAUAGAGAUAGAGUUAGAGAUACACAGAGAGAUGAGGAUGGGAAUUAGAAGUAGAUAAGAGAAGAGGAGAAUUGGGGGUAGUAGAGAAGAAGAGGAAGUUUGGGGAGAAGAAAAUAUCAAUUCAUUUCAUUCAUAAUCUGUUUACCGCGCUAAUUUGGUAUAUAUACUAUCUACUAACUCAUAUUGGAAUGUAAAAACAACUAUGUUAAGAGGGCUAUAGUGCAAAAGUGGUAAAUAGAGGUAUGGUCGGUGGGCUGCAAUUCAGCGGGCAAUUGGGCCUCAAUUGGGGUUGUUUGGUCCAAACUGCCUGGUAGUCGGGCAAACAGGUCGCAAUUCGCCCCUUCUCCGCACUAUCCAUCGCCCGGCGGAUCUUGGGUCCGCCUUUUCCCCCGAUCCGGGAUUUGGGGCCGCCCAAUCCACUCGUAAACGGACAACCGGGUCUCAGUUUGCCUUCUCCGCACUACCCACCGCCCCCUCAGCUCCGACGAUGCCCUAGCCCCGUCGCCCUGCCGGAGUUCCACCCGCACAGCCUCUCGCUGGAUCGCACCGCCGAGCUCGCUCCUCUCUACCCUGCUGUUGCCCUUAUUCCUCGCAUAACUAGUAAAGCUACCACUUUUACUACUCCUUUUAACUACUCUACUCCUUUAUUCUUCAGGUUGUUACGGCAGGCCGUAAUUUCUCCUAUCUUCUGCGUUUUGGGGUUUGAAUGCUCAAUUGGAAGGUCUGCAUUCUUGCAGGCAACCUGACAAACUCAUUUGUCUUUAAGGUGCGUAAGACUACAUGAUGCCUCAUGAUAUGAUUGAAUGGCAGAUCUGAGCCUCCCUUUUCUUCUUUGUUUCUUUUCAGCUAUUAAGAUCUAUUCUAGUAUUUCUUCUUCUCUGUAUUUGCUUCUGCAGGGAGAAGCUAGAUCAUCAAUUCCUAUUCCCUCUACUUUUCGGUGGCUUUGGCCUAUUUCAAGAUGGUCUGUAGUUGAGGGGUCUUCAUACAUGUAUCUCACACGCACUGUGGAAAUGUUUAAUUCAGGUAGCAGCAUGCAGUGCGAGGGUACAACCCAAAGCUUAACAAGAACAGAAAACAGAUGCAACGGCAAUUAAGCACUCAAUUUUACUGAUGGUUGCUAAGCGGCUAAAACAUCAAUGUCAUCUGUUACACUACAUAUAAUGAAAACAUGGAGUUUGUGGGGCAUUCAGGGUGAGGGUUGAUUUAAGCCUGAUUUUUCUCUUCCUCCCUUUCUCUCUCAUUUUUAUUUUUUUCAACUCAAUUCUCAUCUCCCUCUCUCUCUUUCUUUCAUCAAUUUCUUUCUCAUCUUUUACUGCACAAUCUAUUUUUAAGUAAUAAAUAUUAUAAAAUAAAAUAAAAGUUUUAUUAAAUAUAUAUGAUUUAAAUUAUAUAGAAAAGCUAUACGUGAAAAAUUACAAAAUUUGAACUUUUAUCUGAAAAUUUAGAAAAUGCAAUAGAUAAAUUUAGUUUUUUUAUCCAAUUUAUAAAAUAUUUCUCUUUCACUGUUCUAUCUUCUUCUUUUCAAUUACCAGCAACCGAUCUAUCUAUCGGUGCAUUGCAUAUACUAAACUUAUUUUUUAAAAAAUAAAAAUCACAAGAUUAAAAUGUAAUUCGACAAAUGCACUCUACACUAUAUAAAAAGUCUAUUUAAAAAAUUUAUACUGUUUUAAUUUUUAUAAUAGAGUUUUAAAAAUUUGGUGUGUAAGAUAUAUUUAUGCAUUUAAUGUGCCAAACAAUUUCUGGCUCGUCGCCGUCACAUCCUGUCGAGGGAACAAGAAAUCGGCAGAUCGUGGAGUUUGCCUACUUUCUCUCUCUCUUUUUUCGUGGAGUUUGCCUACUUUCUCUCUCCUCUUUCUCUCUUCUUUUCGUAAAAUGAUGAGGCAGCAAAUGUAUCUUUUGCUCUAUUAAUAUAAUCAAUUUUCUUCUUUUGCUCUAUUAAUAUAAUCAUUUUUCUUCUUUUGCUGUUGUUAUUUUUUUGUUUCGUCUUUUUCCUUCUAAUAACUUCGUUAUUAUUGUUGUUCUAGCUGGUUCUUCUUUAGCUUCUUUUUUUUUUAUUUUGUUAUAUUUUUACUGCCACUAUAAAUAUAUUUAUUAUUCUUAUGUUUCUGUUUUUAUUCUCCUGUUGCUGCUGCUGCUGCUUCUUCAACUUUUACUUUUUUCUAAUUCUUUAGUUUCUUUAAAUUCUUUUUAUGUUCUUACUGUCCUUUUUGCCUUCAGCUUUUUUCUUAUUUAUUUGUCUCUACAGAGCCGACUUUGCCGCAACGUGCCAGUAACUUCACUAGUUUUACAAGACCAGCUACUCUACUACAGACCGUAACCCAAGAACAACUUUUAUAACUUGAACUCUCUAUAUUACUCUUCAGAUUUGCCUAGAAUUCAACUCUUUAAGAGCAGACAACUUAGCAUGCCAUCAAAAUAUCUAGUUUAAUGAUCUGCCAAUUGUCGAUGUCAUAGAUUUCUUUGCAUAAACACAUGCUUAAUCUGAAAGCCAUAACUGAAUCAAACGAUUUAGUAAUCCAUCAUUCCCAAUUUAAAGAACCCAAAGCUGAUAAAUCUGGUGGAUUAGAAUGGAUUGUCAAACAUCGCCUUCAAAUAAUUAGCUGCAGUAGUUAGGAAAUGGGCGAUAAGAUUGGCAAAGCACAAAACAAACAGCGAGCGAUUUUGUAUCAACUAAACUCCUCUAAAGCUGAUCUAAAUACUAUGUCCAGAUGAUACAAUUUGGAACUCAGAAUAUGGCGUGUAAAAACAGUUUUCCUAAGGUAAUAAGGUUAAUAUGUCUGAAUUCCUCACUUAACAACUCGGAACUAACUAAUUUCUUAGAAUUUAGACCAUGCGCAUUUCAAUUUCCACAACUUGGACCAUUUUAUUGUGAAGGCGAACAUGUUUGCUCCACAUUAAUUUUCAGUUGUGUGGUAGAGAUCUCAGUUGGAAAGUGCAUCUAUAAAAAGAUGGCACAGAGAGACAUUACUUUGGUAGGCCAACUAAAUCUGCUUAACUGAAAAUUUGGAGGGCAAGUAAAUCUACCAACUUAUUCUUUCUAAUUCAAAGUACAAUUCAGACAUGAGAUCUCUUGUUUCUUGCAACAGCUAGAGCCUAUUUUUGUCAAAUACAAAACUGCAGUACCGUUUGGCCCCAAUACCUCUUUCAAUUGCCAAAAAUCAACAAAGAUUAACACUGUAAGUCACAAAAUUGUGAGAUUACCUCAAACUUUGCAUUCGGUUCCGAACGCCAUUCUAUUAGCGGCAAAGCAUCAAUGGUAAAGCAGCAACCAGGAGAAGAACAAAAAUAUAAAUGACACCUUGAGAUUCUAGAAUUCGCAAACCAUGUACCUUGAAAUUAAACUGAACCAAAAGCAACUCCAUCUACGAGAAAUAAACCUUCACGUACGGAUCGGAAUAGCAAUUCCAACUGUUUGUUUAGCAUGACCAUUUUCUCUAUCGCAAGAAGCAAACAACAGCAUUCGAAACAGGAAAAGCCCUCGGCUCUUUCUAUGGCAGCAAAUUGAAAUAAAAUUUCAUUGACUUGUCUGUCUCCAAAGAACUAAGUAGGAUUUAUUUCUCACAAAUAUAAAGGCCAACAAGCAAACACAACAUAUUGUUAUAUUUCAACUGCCUUCCAGACAAAUACCAAUAAGAAAUUAGCAUAAGCCAAUACCACUUAGAAUAUAAGGGCAACAUAUUUGCCUAAGCUAUGUGUUUUACACUGCAAAGUUUUGUAUCUCACACCGAACCCUACAAGUAGAUAAAUUUGACUCUUCACGAGAGCACCGACAAACUCCCAUAUUUAGGAAAAGUAGCAUCUUUUAUUUGUUAAAGCAAAGAUAAUAAGAUAAAAUGACACAAUAUAACUUGUUAAAGCCUCCAAAGUACUAACACCAAUAACUAAGAACUUAAAAUAAAGAAAAACCAGCAAUCGAAAAAAAAAAAAAAUUUACCACCAUUAUUCACGACCAAACAGCACCUGAAUGGGGAAGGCCUGGUGUAGAGCAUGACAUUCCGCCUGCAAAGCAAAUAAGGAAACAUCUAGUUAUGUUAUUGCAAAAAGACAGAAAAUUUAAACAAACAAGUAUUGCUAAUUAUAUUUCAUUGAUUAGCAUAAUCAUAUAAAGAUAACAUAGAGCAUGUUAUCCAACACUUUAUUACGAAUACUAUCAGGAAGCAUCAGAAACUAUUAUGCAACAAUUGAUUUGCAGGAAAUAAUUAGCAUCUCUUUCUGAAUCUUGUGAGAAUCAGUAAAAGAUAUAGUCCUCCUAACAAUUCAAAAGCCUCAUCCAAAUUCCUAAUUUUACAAGUCCAAGAAAUUACCAAUUUGGACAAAUAUAUAGCUAGCUAAUUGUGGUAGCUGAAAUUUUUUUCAUAAAAAAAAAUUAACACAAUGAGGAAAAAAUAGAAACUUAACAUAAAACAAAGUUGAACAUUGAUGUAACUAAGCAUUGGAAGUAGAAAUACAAGACGAACAGAAUAAAUAAUUUUAGCAUAGGAAACCUCAUUCUCCCUUUCUACAACAUAUCGCAUGUCACAUCGUUACAAAUAUCGAAUUAAAUAACAAAUGCUCUGAUUAAUUUAAAUACUAUAUACACAAACUAUAACCUAACUAUACAAACAAAUAAAUAAAAAUGUACCUCUACUAACUCGCAGUGGGCUUGAGUCUACAAAGAGCAACUCUAAUGUUACGUUGCACCCCAUAAAACACCUUCGCCUGGAAGAUUUUCGGCUCAGCUUCACCGUCAACUGCUUGGAAGGUAACAUAGUACCAAAGUCCUGCUGCGACACUACACGUUGCCUUCUCUAUUUUUACAAACACAUAACUCAUAUCCUACAUUAUGAAAAACAUCAUGAAAUCAAUUUUAUCAAAAAAAAAAAGAAACAAAGAAAAAAAAAAGAAGGAAAAGACAUACACAAGGCAACAUGAACAUACAUUUUCCUUAUUAAAAUGUUCGAUUGCCAAUUUAGUACAUCUGAUAAGAAUUUCAUCAUCAAAAUCCGUGAUCGCCGUAAGGCCAAACUCACAGGUGCCUGGAAAUGGAUCAACAUCGAAUCCCUGUAAAAGACAUGUAUUAACAAUUAGUGAAAAAAAAAAGUUGUGAAGCUUUAACUCUCAAAAAGAAGAUAAUAAUUAUUAAACACCUCGCUUUCCUUGAUUUGUUUGUAAUAUCUAGCCCAUUCUUCGUGAGUCCUACUGCGAUUACCAUUCGGCCAAACGUAAACCUCAUCUUCCUCUGAAGUAUGCUCAUAAACCCUUUGAUCCUUCUCGUUCCCUUUCUCUUCCUCUAUUUCACUUUGGGUAUCUUCCUCCUUGCCCUCUUCCCUCAUCUCUUCGCUUUCUUCCUGCAGUUUCAACUUCUUCUGCAGCGGCCCUUCAGGUAUCAGGUUCUUGGAAUUCUGCCUGUAUCACAAAAUGAAAUAUAUCUAUCAUAAAAAAUUUAAACAAAUUUCAAUCAAAACUAACGACAAUUUAAAAAAAAAAAAUCUUAAAUUGGCUCAAAUAAAAGAAGAAUUUAGCCGAUGCAUACGAAAUAGAGACCAAACAGGGCAUAAUUCAGGUGAUACAUUCCUAGAUUAGGAUUUUCUAAUUACAAAAUAAUAUAUUAUUAUUUUAAAAUAUUUCAGUUGUUUCCAAUAAAGUGUAAUUAGGGUUAGGUUAUAUAAAUGUGUAUUUUUUAUGAUUUGGAGAAUAAGAAGAAAUUGGCCGUGUUGUUCUAUCUUCCCUCUUGUUCUCUUCCCCCUUAUCUAUCUUUAUCUCUCUAAUAUCUCUCUCUUCAGGAGGUUCGAUUCCCUCAAAGUGAUUGUUUAUCUCCGUCGAUACGGUAGAAUCUUGUUCUAUCUCCCCUCCCGUUCUCUUCCCCCUUAUCAAUCUUUAUCUCUCUAAUAUCUUUCUCUAGGAGGUUCGAUUCUCUCAAAGUAAUCGUUUAUCCUUACCGAUACGGUAGAACCGUAUCAUCAGGCCAAAUUUCGUAAAUAAUUUUUUUGAAGGAAUAUUUUUACAAUUAUAAUAUGAUAUAAGUCUACUAAUAAUCCAUCAUAAUCAGAAUAAUCAAAUGCAUAUCAAACGUCACAAACAAACGGCAUUCUAAUCAUUUAUUACAAUCCUAAAUUAAUCAGAGAGCCAAACACAUAUCAAAAUCGCACAUGAAAAAAAAAAAAAAAAAAAAGAAAGCACAUUCUAACACGUGUGUACGGAAUAUGGUAACGAACGAGAUGUAUACCUUUGUCAGGUGAAGACAAUUGUAAUGCCUUGAAGAAUAAAUAGUUUAAUAGUUAGCAGGGGAAGGAAAUAAAAAUGUUAACUUUACAAUCGUAAGACCAGAAAUAAGGGCAACAGCAGCAGGGUGGAGAGGCGAAGAGAUCGGGCGGAAGUAGUAGGCGGAUCGGGCGGUCGGAUUACCGGAUCGGGCGUAAAACGCGGACCCAAGCCCCGCCGGGUUGCGGGUGAUGCGGAGAAUGUAGGAACCGACGCCCACUUACCGUUAUGCAUGGGUCGGGCGAACCGGAGCUCGGAUCGGGGCGAAAUGGCGAACCCAAGACCUGCAGGGUUGCGGGUAGUGCGGAGAAGUUCGGACCCGAGUCCGUUUGCCCGACAACCAGCAGAAGAGAUCAGAAAGCCCGGGAAAGGGCCCAACUAUUAUGAGAUGGCAGCCCACACGAGUUUUUCCUCAAUUUGUCACUUUUGCUGUUUAGCCCUCAUAGACUAGGUGCGUUUUCAGUUUAGUCCAAAUUACCAAGUACUAUAAAUACCAAAGUAUAACGUAAAUAGGGUAUCAAUAAAAUGAAAUAUUGAAUCUGCUUCUUCCCCAAACUCUCUUCUCCUCUAAACUCUUUUUUCCCAACUCUUAUCUCUUUUCUACCUCUCAUCCACAUCAUAUCUAAACUCUAUGUAUUACGAAAAAAAUAUAAAUAUUAAAAAAAGAAAAUACAAAAAAUAUAAGGACGGAACAUAGUGAAUGGACCAUUCACCGUAAUUGAACACGAUGAAUGGUUUACCGUGUCUAAGAAAAAUAUAUCAUUUACCGUGUUUGAAUGCGAUGAAUGAUUCAUGGUAUUCAACUUAUCAACCCUCUAGCUUUUACAAAAAUAAUUUAUAAAAUUUAAAUUUUAUAAAAAUAUAUUUGUUUUUUAUAAUCGGAACGACGAAAAAUAGAUCCAGAAAAUAAUUUAAUACAGAAAAAGAAAAGAUAAGAAAAGAGUACGCCGAUAUUUACGUGGUUCGGCCAACGGCCUACGUCCACGAAAGAAGACGGAGCAAAUACUUUAUUAAUGUCGAAAAAAGCGGAAUACAAAGAAGAUCUCUCAAAAAAUAAUCAAAGCUUAAUUAGAUCGAAACGCCGCAACAAGCAACUCCAAAAUUGGCUUCUCUCUCACCCGUACGACGUAUGGCUAAAUUAAAGUAGCCACGGAUCCUUGACCGUACGAAACGUGGAUAGAUUGGCUUAAUUAGAGUAUGGCUUAUAAUUAGCGGCAGCUCCUGACUGUACGGACCACACGAUCGACAUGGAUUUCUUAAUUAGAGCCCGGCAGCUCGGAAUAAUUAGCACAUGGCAUCUAAUUUUGGUCGCGGCAUCAUUAUAUAUAUAUAUAUAUAUAUAUAUAUUAUAAUUAGAGUCUAAUUCUAAUUAGAUUAGAAUUACAUUCCUAAUUAUAAUUUAUAAAAUAUAUAUGUCAAAUUAAAUUUAAAUUAUAUCUAAUUUUAAAUAAAUUAGAAUUUAACUCUAAAUUAGAUAACUACAAAUCUAAACCAAAUAUAAAAAUAAUUUACUAUAUUUUGGUAACCUGUAUGUAAUUAACCUAAAAAUUUUCGUCUUAUAAUAAGUGGAGGAGGCCAUCAGUAAUUGAAAUUUUCGUCUUAUAAGUGAAGGAGGAGUUGGCGUUUUCUAGACUCUUUCGUGUCUUCGGGAUGUACAAGGCGUGCUCCUUUUCUUGCUAUGACGAACUCCCACAUCACCAAAGAGAGGGGAAAAAAAAAAAAUGGAGGGAGAAAACACAUUUCUCUCUCCUUUGAUCCUUUCCCGGAAACCAAACAUCGCAUUACAGAAUCUGGCAAUGGCGGGGCAUCGCGCUGGAUGGUCUGCUCUUCUUCCGCGGGCUACCAAGCUGCAGCCAUUAAUCCAGACGCGAUGCUGCUGCAGCGACGGCGACGAGGACGACGACGGUCAUUCCUAAUGAUGAUGAUGAUGAUGACGGUGACGAUGAUGAUCUUUAAUGGGGUUUGGGCUUCAUCCGAAGAUGCAUCCUCCGAUGUCAAUGGCAUCGGAUCGUCGUCUUCUUGAUACCUCUCAUGUUUCUUGAUCCUCUCUGAAGUAACUAUCAUCAUUUUUUCUUUUUCUUUUUAUUCUACUUCUCCAUUUCUCUUCUUGAUGCCUCCUCUUCCUCCUCCUUGUUGUUGUUACUGUUACUGUGUUCGUGUUGGUGUUGGUGUUGGUGGUGGUGGUGGUGGGGGUGGGUGGAGCCUACCGUCUCCCCGCCCUAUCCUGAAAGGUUUCAGGAAAACCCACAAAACUUCGCCUUUCGGGGUAAAGAUGUAUAAAACUUUCCGCAACUAUCAUCCUUUUCGAUCUGACUACCUAACAGUUAAAAGUUUGGAUUUUACUACCCGUUCUUUCAAUUUAUUUGAUUUAAGCCGAUUAGUAAGCAACUAUGAAUUAAUUAAAGUAAGCAAUUAGUUUAAAUUUUGAAGUCCGAUUAUCGUUGACUGACUCAAAUCGAACAAAUUGGAAGGUUCGGUGGUAAAAUCAAAAUUUUGGAAGGUUGGGUGGUCGACUCAAAAUGAGGCAUUUAGGAUUUCGCAGUUGGUGCUUGGCAUGGUCAUGGUAAUCUUGGAAGGCUCUGCUCUUCUGCAGGCAACCACUUUUCCAUGCGAUGUCUUGUGGUGUAUUGCAAUACUGUGUUUCGUACCAAUUUUUCUGUGCGGGUGUUUUGGAGCGGAAAUUGGAAAUCAUGGUAGAUCCGACUGGAAACCGUUGGGUUUGCUUAGACUUGCUGAAAUCACUUCAAACCGGUGGAAAUCAAUUCAAACCACACCUGCUAAUGUUUCCAAGGAUUUACAUGUUCUUGGUUGCAAUUUCAUCCAAAUCAGUGAUUUGGAGGAUCCGAAACUGGGUGCAAAGGAGGCUGUGAUGGUUGCCAACCUGGGUGCUAAUGCUUUGUCCAAGCCAUUUCUUCUUUACCCAGUGUAUACAGCGAAAACAGCUCUUUUAAUAUCAUUUCUUCUUCGGCAAAUUGGAUGGUCUGCUAAUUUAGCAGGCAACCUUAUGCUAGCAUCCAUUGUUAUGGUGCAUGGAUUUUAUGAUGCUUUCUGAGUAAGGCCGGGGAAAUGGUUGUGAACAAACAAAUUGAGGCUUUCGGUGGGUCUCUUGCUGUGUCAUCAACCAUAAUAUUGAUUAGCGACAUAUUGCCGUUCACUCAACUUAAUUGGCUUGUGAGACUUGAUAGCAACAAUCAAGAAAGUUCGAGUCGAAAUUGCAACAAUUAUAUUUUGAGGACUAAAGUGUUACCUGCCUCAUUGUUUGAGGACCAAAAGUGUAAUUUAGCCUUAUUUUAUCUAACAAACCACUGAGCAGGUAAGAAUUUUCUUGCUAAAUUGCAUGUUUGGUCCUCAAACAAUGUGUAACACUUUGGUUCUCAAACUUUAAUCUGUUACAAUCUAGCCUGAACUUUUUGAAUUGUCGCAAUCAUGUCCUGCAAUCCAAUUUAGAUGACUAAAUAUUGAUGCAUCAUUGAUGUAAUAGUGAUGUGACAUUUUAUUUUUUGUCGCAUCAUCAAUUACCAUACUGCUACCGUCACUUUCACAUUACCGACAUAUCAAUAUUUAGUCAACUAAAUUAGAUUAUAGGACUUGAUUGCAACAAUUCGAUUCAGAAAUUACAAUAAAUUAAUGUUUGGUCCUUGUCAUGCGUCUCAAAGUUUGAGGGCAAAAUGUGCAAUUUACCCUAAUUUUCCUCAUCUCAGUGGCAGCUCUCAAUUGGAAGGUCUGCUGUUUUGCAGGCAACCUUGUUCUGUCAUUUGUCUUCAAGGUGCAUAAGAAUAAGACUAUCAUGAUGCUUGUUGAUAUGAUCAAAUGGCAUGUUGGACCCUCUCUUUCCUUUUGCUUGAAACAUUACUUCUACUUUCUUUUCAGCUUUUAAUAUUUCUCAUGUCGACUGUCCGUGUGUCCUCAUGCUGACUGUAUGCUUCAAUCAGACAGGCCCUUAAUGUUUUAUGCAAUGUUAAGUUUUUUUUUUCCCUUCAUUUUACUUGUCAAAGGAGGCUGUGAUGAUUGUCGGUUGGGAAUGCACCUCAACUUAUUUUAUCCCGGCUUUUGCUUCUCGGCGGAGUACAGAAGCUGAUAAGGAUAAUGGAUAUAAGAGGCAAUAUAGUCAACUCAAACCUAAGAUCUUGGUUGGGUUUUGACAAGUCGUGUGGGAUUUGAAUCUGGUUUGUUGGCUUGCUUUGUCCUUUUACAACCCUUGGAAGCCUUUCACUUCGUUCAUUUGUGGGAUAGACAGCAUCUCAGUGGGUGGUUUUUGGCUGACAUAAUGCACCAGGUACAGGCAAUAAUUUUUCCUUUCUGGGCAGCUCGUGAGGCCAACAAUACACCCCUCUAGCAGUACUUAAUUGGAAUGCCUUGCAGGCAAGCCUAUGCUGUCACGUCUUUAAGGUGCAUGAGAUUACAAGAUCCCUCAUGUGGUGAUUAAGCCUCCAUUUUAUUUUCCUACUUCCUUUUUAGCUAUUGAGAUUUGGUUGUUCACGUUUUUUUUUUCCCUCUCGCUUUCUUACUGCAUAUAGAAGCUAGGAUGGGUUGUUUUAAAUAUUCCUUACAACCCGUUGAAACACGACUUCAUGCUGGUUGAUGGUAAAUUUUCUAUCCUAUAUGUAUUCAGACCUGUGGCAACUUGUUAAUUUUUCGGAUUUUGAUAAGAACUAAAUAUAAGAAAGAUUUGGAUGCUAGGUAUAUAAAUAUUUGGGUUAAUUUCUUCAAUACCCUCCUUAAAGGUUGUAAUUUCAUAAAGACUCCUUCAAAUUGUAAAGGGUUUAGGGUUUAUGCAUUAUUGCAUGCAUACAUCUCUCUCCCCCCCCCUUUGUAAUCUGGUUCUUGUAAAUUUGCAUCUGAUCGACAUCAAGUUUCUAUAUUUAUUGGGUUUCUUUGCAUUUUAAAGUUAUACAAAAUUGUUGCAGGGCAUGCGAUCAAAACGGUUGCUCAAUCAAUAGCUUCACUUGAGCCCUAUUAUAUUAUUUGAUAAAGUUUUGGGAUUUAUUUGUUAAAAAGUAGAAGUUUUAGCACCUGUUUGCAAAAGUGUUAGAGUUUGGGGGGGGCUUAGAACAUUGUUUCAAUUAUUAAUGUCUACUAAAAAAAUGCAUGUUGGGCGAAAACGUUGCAUCCUUUUGGGCUAUUUAGGGAGGCAAAAUACUGUGAGCCCUCCAAGGACGGAUGUGUGGGUAUGCCUUUGAGGCGUUACGAGCUAGAGAGCCUAUGUUUGGGGAAAAACAGUAAGUACUGGGCGUGCUACCUUCUUGCUGUAAGCUCCUCUGUCUCUUCACUCCCACACUGAGAAACCAAUCACCCCCUUAGAGAAUCUGGUAUUGGCAGGGCAGCAUUGGAUGGUCUGCUGUUUGUAGGCUACUGAGCUGCAGCCAUUAUUCCAGAAUUGGUUCGUCAACGACGGCGGUGGCGAUCAUUAUGUGGCCAUCAUUUAUAAUGAUGAUGAUUAUCAUCAUCAUCUUUAAAGGGGCUUCGACUUCAUGUGAGGAUGCCUCCAUUUUCGUCGGCAUUGGAUCAUCAUCUUCUUGACAGCUCUCAUAUAUUUUGAUCCUGGCUGAAGUAACUAUCAUCGUUUUUCUUGUACUUAUCCAUUUCUUUUCUUGAUGCCAUUUUGUUGUUAUUGUUAUUAUUAUUAUUGUUGUUGUUAUUGUCAUAGUGGUGGUAUGGAGUUGACCAAGCCUUCAUAUAUAUAGGCUAGGGCUACUAUCCUAUUAAUAGGAUAGUAGCACUUGUCCUAUCAAAUUGUUCUUGAUGAUAGAGAUUCCGAAUCGAUGAUCGGAACCGUUGAAGUUGAUCUAGAGUACUUGAAAUAUCUAGAAACUAAAUUUAAUAAAUUUUAAAAAUUAUUUACAUGGUGAUCAAACUAUCAAAGUGUCGAAAAAUCGACAAUUUUUGACGGCCUAUAUGAGCCGUUUGCUUGUUUAACGGUGUAGAGCAAUCCAAAUUACUUGAAUUUUUGAUAAAAAAAUUUUUAUACUAUUUAGAUAAUGUUUGAUAACUCUGAUUAUGAAUUGAGAAAAUCUAACCUCUAUUUUAAGAAGGUUAUUCAUUUAUGACCGUUCAUUUUUUAACUCUUAAGAUGAACAUGAUAAUGAUUUUUAAAUAUUACAAAAUUUGGUUUCUAAACAUUUCUGAUUGUGUAGAUCAAUUUCAACGGUGCCGAUUAUCAAUUUGAAGUUCCGAUCAUUCAAAACGACUUGAUAGGACAAUAGCUCCAAUCCUAUUAAUAGGAUAGUAGCUGGACUCUCUCUCUCUCUCUCUCUAUAAGUUAUUAUAUAUAUAUAUAUAUAUAUAUAGAGCUAGGCUGGUAUACUAUUGGUAGCACGGAGGCCACCGUGCUACCAAGUUGUUUUCAAUGAUGUGGCUUCCAAAUCGACGAUCGGCUCCGUUAGACUUCUACACUAUUGAAAGUAUUUGGAAGCUAAAUUUCAUAAUUUUUCGGUAUCAUUUGCCUAGCAAACGAGUACUCUAAAAAUGAACGGCUGAAAAUAAAAAUCUCAUAAUAUUGGAAGGCUAUGGUGCUUUUAAAAGCACCAAGCACUUGGUCCUUGUAAGUUUCCUAUUGUUAGAUUUAUCUCUUUGACCAAUUCCAUCCCUAAGAUUAUGCUAUUCCACCAACCACCUGCUCAACUCUCGGGGACCACUAUUAUCCUAACCUACAAAUCUUCAUCCAAGACCGAAAACCUACAAGCACCAAUGACUUGGCACUUUUAAAAGCAUAGGAGCUCAAUUCUGUCUAUCUAUCUAUGUAUACAUAUAUGUAUAUAUACAGUUUGUGUGUGGGGAAUAUAAGGGGGAAAAAAACAGCAAUCAUACCACAUGAGGCAUAAAGUUUUCAGCGGUAGGUGCAUGGCAUGGUAAUAUUGGAAGGCCUUGCUUCUCUGCAGACAACUAUUUUUCCUUGAUGUCUUGCUUAGACUUGCUGAAAUUAUUGAGAACUAACUUAUUAAAGCUUUCAAUGAGUCUCUUGCCGCGUCAACAACCACUACACUGUCACAUUACUGUUGCAUUAGUGAGACAUUACCGAAAGUAAGUUGGCCUAUGAGACUUGAUUGCAACAAUCAAGAAAGUUUGAGCUAGAAAUUGCAGCUAUUAUGGUUUGAGGACCAAAAGUGUAAUUUAGCCUUAUUUUAUAUAACAAACGACUGGGCAGGCAAUAAUUUUCCAAUCUCGGCUACCUAUAACUACACUCAAUUGGAAGGUCUGCUGUUUUGCAGGCAACCUUGUUCUGUCGGUUGUCUUCAAGGUGCAUAAGACUAUAUGAUGCCUCUUGAUAUGAUCGAAUGGCCGGUCGGAGCUUCUCUGUCCUUCUACUUUAUUUUCAUCUGGUAAUAUUUCUCAUGCUGACUGUCGAUGUCCUCAUGCUGACUGUAUCCUUCAAUCAGACAGGCCCUUAAUGCUUCAUGCAAUGUUAAGGAAGCAUCUCUCCUUUAUUUUACGUUUCGAAGGAGGUUGUGAUGAUUGGCAGUUGGGAAGGCACCUCCACUUAUUUUUUCUUGGCUUUUGAUUCUUAAUGGAGUGCGGAAGCUGAUCGAAAUACUGGAUAUAAGAGGUAGUAUGGCCAACCCUAAAAACUGUACUUUUGCAAACACACAAAAAAAAAAAAAAAAAAUCCCCUUUCAUGAAUAACUGUAGAAACGGAUGGUCUGCACUUUUGCAGGCAACCUAGCAGUUACAUGCCGUAUUUUGUGGUUUGUAGUUUAAGCCAUUUCUUUACGACAUCAUUUGCCUAGCGAUCAAGCGGUUUCAAAUACAUCGUAUAUUAGACAUUAAAAUUGUUGAUUUCUGGACCACUUGACUACUUAGCAAAUGAUAUCCAAGAAUGAUGAAGUUUGAAACCUAGAAAGUUGAAAUAUCCUAGAUCAUGUUUGACGGUGUUAAUCGUCUAUCCGGAUGCCCCAUUAUCGGAAAUGACACGGAAGUAAGCUGUACUUGUAGAAGUAUUCUAGCCUCUCUUUUUCUCUCUCUCUCUCAACUUUCUAGGUUGAAAUAUAGAGCAAAAAGUCGGUGGUGGCACUAUUAUGGAUCAAUAGGUUCUAGGGUUCACUUCUUGAAGUAUCCCCCUGCUCUCGCACCCCAAAAACACACACACACACACAAAAAGAAAAAAAAAAAAAAAAAAAACUCAAAAUGUAGUUUCUCGUGGAAACUUGCUCCUGCUUGGCAUGCUAUCUUGAACGGCUAGCUCCGAUGCAGGCAACCAAUAUUUGCAUCUAUACAGGGGAUUUUAAUCCUCAGUUUGCUAUUUUGAAGCAACAAGUGUUGGAUACAGUGCACCAGAACUGAAGCAUUUGACUGAAACGUAGCUUGGCAAUCUUUGGAAGGCUUGCAAUUCUGUGAGCAACCAUUAUGCAGCUGUUUGUGUAGUUCUGUGAAGAUUCUGGUGAAAAGGGCAGAUCUGAGCCACCUCCCUUCUAAGCAUCGUCAUCGUUAAAUUAUGAAAAGCUUUCUUGUACUUUAUCCUCUGUCACAAUUAUCUAACUGCUCGAGAAAGAUGGACUGUAGACAACCGUCCGCUUGUAGACAUCUUUGACUCUAUGGUAAACAGUUGCGACAUGUUUGUUGGGUGAAUGAAAGAAAUGUUGAACAAGAGGGUUGUGUGUCGAAAGAGAGACUAAAUUUGCACUUUGGUUGUGUGCCAGAAAUGGUCUGUGCUGCUGUUUAAAGCUGCGUUCUUAUGUCUUUCCAUGUGGCAGCUGUGAUGAUUGCCUAUGGAAGCAUCAAAACCCUUGAACAUUAGACUACACUUUGAUCUGCACAGUGUGGCAACUUUUGGACGGCUUGUUUAGCAAGCAUCCAUUUUGCGUUUGUAUGUGUAGUUCGCAAAUGCUCAUAAAAAUGGGGUGAAAACAUGCAUAACUUAUCUGAACUAUGAACAUUUCAAGAAAGGCAGAUUGUAGACAACCGUCCGCAUGUUUGUUGUGUAGACAUCUUAGACUCUGUGGUUAACAAUUGCGGCAUAUUUGUUGGGUAAAUAAACGAAAUAUGUUGAUGGUCAUGUGUUGAUAGAGGCUCUAAAUUCGCACUUUUGUUCUGCACCAGAAAUGAGCUGUGCUGCUGUUGAAAGAUGCAUUGUUUCCUCUUUCUAUGCGGUGGCUGUGAUGAUUGCCAUGUAUGGAUGCACCAAAUCCCUACAACAUUUGACUAAACUUUGAUCCGCACAGCUCGGCAACCUUCGGAAGGCUUGUUCUGCAAGCAUCCAUUUUGCUUUGUAUGUGUAGGUUUGCAAAUGCUCGUAAAAAUGGCAGAUCUGAGCCCCAGCAUCUAAAUCUCUCCUUUUCGUUGUUUAGAACUAACAAUUUUUUACCCCUAGCUUGCUCUUGUUUAAAGAAUUUCUGUUUGCUAAAUUGCCUCUUGCAACAAGGUGGUUAGUUGAUAAGAAGAAAAAUGUUCCUUUAUGUCAAUGUAUGUUUGAAGUUUAGUGUUGAUAAUUACACCACAGUUGGAGGGGGUUUGGCAUAUCUUUGUAUUUAAAUAUGGCCAGCAGGAAGUGUAGUUUUUAACAGAGUAUUAGACCUACCUGGCAGGAACCUUGGAUGGCCUGCUUAUAUGCUGGCAACCAAUUUUUGCUGCUGUAAGCUGGAGUUUGUACCCAGGUUCGUAUUAUUAGUGUUGAGCAUCACGAUGUAACUUUUUGUAGUUCUACAGAGCCGAAGAAUUGCUCUUUUGUAUCCUUCUUCCUUAGUGGGUAAUCAAAAUUUCCACAAAAUUUGAACUUCAAAUCUCACUUCUUUCAAGUUUAUCCCCAAACUGGUUUUCUAUAAAAAUAAACUGAACAUGGGACUUCGGCAAUGCUGGGGGAUCUCAUAGGGGUGACACGGUCGAAUACAGUUGGAUUUUUGACGAAACCAUAUCUGUAUCCAUUUCGUAGGCUAAUUCGGAUAUGAUGAUGUCGGAUUCGAUCGGAUUUUAUCCUAACCAUUUUCACCCCUAUUUGUUGUACAUUUAUUCAGAGGCAAAAUACUCUGAGCCCUUCAAUGAGGGAUGGGCGGACGGAUGGAUGGACGGGUACAUCGCUAAGGUGAUGUGAAAGAGAGAACCCUGCGUUGGGGACAAGCAGAAAUGCAGGGAUGCUCCGCUCCCUUCUUCCUGUAAGCCCCUCUGUCUCCUACUCUCUUCCGCCCCAAAAGAAGGGAAAGAAAAAAAGAAAGAAAAAAGAAAGUCAUUUGUCUCGUUUUCUUUCUCUUCCUUUCCUUAAGAAAAGUGUUUUUAGGUUAGACAGGGAAUGUGGUAAUGGCAGGGCAGUUCUGGACGGUUUGCUCUUCUGCAGGCUACUGAGCUGCAGCCAUUACUCCGGAAAUGCAUUGGUGGGAGUGACGACGGUCAUUCAUAAUGAUGAUGAUGAUGAUGAGGAUGAUGAGGAUGAUAACCUUUGUAGGGGCUUCAUCUUCCUCUUGAUACCUCACCUAUCUUCUUGAUACCUCACCUAUUUCUUGAUCCUCGUUAAAGCAGCUAUCAUUUCCUCCUACUUCCCUUCUUAAUGCCCUAUUGUUGUUGUUGUUGUUGUUGUUGUUGUUGUUGUCAUUAUUAUUAUUAUUAUUAUUGUGGUGGUGGUGGUGGUGGGGGUUGGAUGGAGUCUACCAUCUCCCUGCCCCUUCGUAAAAGGGGAAGCUUUCGUUUCUUGGGGUUGACCGAGCCCACACAUAUAUAUGUGUGCGCGCGCGCGUGCGCUUUUAGAAGCAUAUACUUUGAACUUUGGACCCUUGGAUCCCUAGGGUUUACUAGUUAGUGAUGGUUAUAGUACGGAUCCAAGGGCUCAAAAGUUUAAGUUGUAACUUCUCAAAGCAGCAUAAGCUCUAUUCUAUAUAUAUAUAUAUGCACACACACUGUUGGUGUUUGAGGGUUUGAAAAAAAAAAAAAAAACCAGCAGGAACAAUUCUAGAUGAGGGCUAAAGUUUCAGCAGAAGGUGGAUGGCAUGGUUAUCUUGGAAGGCUCUGCUGUUCUGCAGGCAACCAUUAUUCUAUGUACGAGAAGAGAUAUCUAUUCCUUUUUCUCAUGCAAUACUCUGUUUGGUGCCAAAUCAUUAUAGAAUUGAAUAUAUUUGCAAUUCCAUGAGGGCAUUUGUGUUGCGGAAAAUGCAGACUAUGGCAAAUCUGACCACAAACCAGAGAAUUUGCUUUAUCGGAAAUAAAUUUGAAGUACACCUGCUAAUGUCUCCAAGGAUGAACCAGUUCUUCUUGGCAAUUUCAUCCAAACCAGUGAUUUGGAGGAUUCCAAACAGGGAAUGAAUGAGGCUUCGAUGAUUGCCAAUCUGGUUGCCCACAGUUUGCCCUUGCCGUUACUUCUUUACCAUUGUACAGUGUAAACGGCUCUUUUAAUAUCAGUUCUUCAGUAAAUUGGAUGGUCUGCUAAUUUAGCAGGCAACCUUUGAAGCUUUUGAUGGGUCUCUUGCCAUGUUAUCAAUCACAGUACUUCUACAAAUCGGAAGUCACAACAAAUUAAAGUUUCAGGACCAAAGUGUCACCCGCCUUAUUGUUUGAGGACCAAAUGUGUAAUUUAGCCUUAUUUUAACUUACAAAGCACCCAGAACAAAAAGAAAGCACCGGAUUUUUUUCUUUUUUUCUAGAGAAGCUUUCAAUGGCUUGCGAUGCACCUGGUGUAGGCAAUAAUUUUCCUAUCUCAGCUGCUCAUUAGGGCAACUUUGCGGGAUACCUGUAGCAGAACUCAAUUGGAAGGUCUGCUGUUGCAGGCAACCUUGUUCUAUCAUAUGUCUGUAAGGUGCGCAUGGCAACAUAAUGCUGAUCGAAUGGCAGGUCGGAGCCUCUUUCCUUCUUCUCUCUUUUCAACUCUCAGUAUUUCUCAUGCUGACUGUACGAAUGUCCUCAUGUUGACUGUAUGUUUCAAUCAGAUGCGCCCUUAAUGUUUCAUGCUAUGUCAAAGAAGUGUUUCUCCUUCAUUUUAGUUGUCAAUGGAGGCUGUGAUGAUUGCCAGCUGGGAAUGCUCCUCAACUUCUUUUAUCCUUGCUUUUGACUCUUGGCGGAGUAAAGAAGCUGAUCGAAAUACUGGAUAUCAGAGGGAAUACAGUCAGCUCAAACCAAACAUGUUUGUUGGGUUUUGACAAUUCUGGUGGGAUUUGAAUCUGUUUUGUUGGUUUUCUUGGUCCUUUUACGCUCCUUGACAGCCCUUUGCUUCGUUCAUUUGGGUGGUCUUGGCUGACAUGAUUCACCAGGUGCAGACAAUAAUCUUUCCUUUCUAAGCAGCUAUAAGGCCAACAUUAGCUACCUGUAGUAGUACUUAAAUUGGAAGGUCUGCGGUCUUGCAGGCAACAUUAUGCUGCUAUGUCUUCAAGGUGCAUAAGAUUGCGGGACCCCUCAUAAGAUAUGAUUAAAUGGCAUAUCUGAGCCUCCAUUUUCUUUUACUACUACAUUUUUUGCUAUUUAGUGGUACAUUGUUUUUCUUUUCUUUUCUUUUCUUUUUUUCUCUGGCUUUCUUGCUGCAUGUAGAAUCUAGGAUGGGUUGUUCCAUAUUUUCCUUAUCAACUUCCUGGAACUCUGCUUUAUGCUGGUUGAUGACAACUGGAUAGUUGUUCGGGGGUCUAUUUCAAAAUGGCCUAUAGUUGUGGGCAAGGAUUUAAGUGCCGUGGCAUGGGGUCGUGCCGGAAACUUGUCGGCAUGGUACAGCACGGUGCAUGCCGAGCCGUGCCGAUGCGUGCCGGUCAAAAAAAUUCUUGUGUGCCAACACAUAAUAGCAUGAAAUAUUUAUUUUCUUUAGCAACAAAAUAUUCUAAUUAUUUAUUAUGUUUUUUAUCACAUCUUUUGAACUCUAUUGAGGAAAUUACUUACUAAUUUAAAGAAUAGAGGUUUUUGAGCUGUGCCAUCGGCAUGGGGUCUGUAUCGUGCCGAUAUCUUGUUGGCACGGUGGAUACGGCCCGUGCUAACGGGCACUUAAAACCUUGGUUGUGGGGAUCUUCAUACUAUUUGCCCUUCUCAAUAUAUUUGAGGGUUAUCCCAAUAUUGUGAUUUAGUCCUUGAACCUUUUCCGUGAGCACUUGUCCCUUAUCUUUCAAAUAUUCUUGCAAUUCGUCCCCGGCCAUCACUUUGGUCCAUAUACUGCAGGCAAGAUCUCUGAUUAGCACUUUACAGUGUAACUUAAUCACUAGAGGAUUGGCGCGUGAUUCGUAAUUGGGGGCAAGAAGAAGUACAGGGCAUGCUCCCUCCUUUGUAUAAGCCCCUCUGUCUACUUUCUCUUGCACCACAAAAAGCAAAAGAAAAAAAGAAAACAUUUUAAUGUUGAUAAGGGAUGGUGAUAAUACUUUAGGCUUCGGCUUCAUUUGAGGAUGCCUCCUAUGUUGAUAGUGUUGGAUCGCCAUCUUCUUGAUUCCUCUCAUAUUUCUAGAUUCUAGCUGAAGCAACUAUUAUCUUUUUUUUUUAAUUACAUCUCCAUUUCUCUUCUUGAUGCCUUAAUUUUUUCUUCUUCUUCUUCUUGUUGUUAAUUGCUGCUGUUAUUGUUAAUUUUACUAUAGUGGUGGUGGUGGUGGUGGGUGGAGACUAUCGUCUCCCCACCUCCUCCUGAAAGGGAAAACCCAAAAACCUUAGCUUUUCAGGUUUGACCAAGCCUUCAUUUUUGGUUUUGGCUGUAUAUAUAGAGAGAGAGAGUUUGCGAUUAACUUUUUAACCCUUGGAUUUCAGCAGUAGGCGCAUGGCAUGGAAUUCUUGGAAGGCACUACUCUUCUACAGGCAACCAUUUUUCCAUGUGAGGUCUUGGAUGUACAAGAAGAUAUAUCUACUCCUUUUCUAAUGUAAUACUCUGUUUGGCACCAAAUUGUUAUAUAAGUGAGUAUAUUUGCAAUCCUGUGAGGGCAUUUUUGGAGCAAAAAUGCAAAUUAUGGUAGAUCCGACCACAAACCAGUGGAUCUGCCUAGAAUUGCUGCAAUCAUUUGAAACCAUCGGAAAUCAAUUCAAUCCACACCUGCAAAUGUUUCCAGGGAUUAAUGAGUUCCUGUUUGCAAUUUCGUUCAAAUCAGUGAUUCAAAGGAUUCUAAACAGGGUGUAAAGGUGGCGGUGAUGGUUGCCAACCUGGGUGCCAACGGUUUGUCCAAGCCGUUUCUUCUUUGCCGAGUGUACAACGUAAACAGCUCUUUUAGUAUCAGUUCUCCUUUGGUAAAUUGGAAGGUCUGCUAAUUUAGCAGGCAACCUUUACCACCAUAUAUUAUAAUGGUGCAAGAAUUAUAUGAUGCCUUUUUAAUAAAGUGGGGGAAAUGGUUGAGAACAAACUAAUUGAGGCUUUAGGUGGGUCUCUUGUGAUGUCAUCAACAGCAAUACUGCCACAUUACUGCUACAUAUGUGAGACAUCACCAUCCGCUCAACUAAAUUGGCCUGUGAGAUUUGAUUGCAGCGGUUAAGAAAGUUCGAGACAGAAAUUGUAGCAACUAUAGUUUGAGGG